This is a long non-coding RNA of Callorhinus ursinus (northern fur seal), 1120 nucleotides long. RefSeq lists it as uncharacterized. NCBI's taxonomy places the organism in Eukaryota, Metazoa, Chordata, Mammalia, Carnivora, Otariidae. The record is from RefSeq and is a predicted model, not a curated record.
ACAUUCAUCUUGUUGGCCUCCCGUUCCCCAUGAGCAAAGUUGACUUUGCUAAAGAUAUAACACAGUGCUCCUCAACCAGGGAUGGUUUUGCUUUCCAUGGGGACAUGUGGUGAUGCCCAGAGGCAUUUCUGGUUGUCACAACAGAUGGAAAGGGGAAGAUGCUGCAGACGUCUAGUGGUCAGCGGCCAGGGAUGCUGCUCAGCCUGCCACAGCGCACAGGACAGCCCCCUCAACAAACAAGUAUGUGGCCUAAAAUGUCAACAGUGCUGAGGCAAUGCCCCACCUCGCCUGUGUUUUCUAAACAAUGCAGAGUCUUGGGAAGGUGCUCCAGUUUUUCUCAUUGCUCUUUGUCAGUUUUUGACUAAGUGGAGAUUAGAAGGAUGUGGGCAAGAAAGGGACUGUGUGUGUGUGUGUGUGUGUGUGUGUGUGUGUGUGUGUGUGUGUUAGUUUUCUGACUGAGGAAAGGAGGUAAGACCCAUUACCUCCAUAGCUGACAAGACUGAGAACAUUGGGCAUAUAUUUUAUAUAAUAUUAAAACAAAGCAUUCACAAGUUAGGAUUCAAGCAAAGAGUCCAGAAAUUCGUUCUGAUCUAGGUUUAGAGAACUGGCCUGAAGCGUUACAACUGUCAGCCUACAGCUCACCCCAGCUCUUUCACUGACGGUCCUUACAUCUCUCCUGUUCCUGUUGUGCCUUCCAGUCAGUGAGUCUGUGAUAUAAAGUACAGAUUCGUCCCUCCUCACCUGUGAGGAUGGAAACCUACAGGAUUUCCUGUGCCUGUGUUAAACAAUACUGGGAUGGGCCAUAUUGUCCCCAUGGCAAAAACUCCAGUAAAUAAACACUUGCUUCUGGAAGAUAAGACUAUGAGCGAACUAGAAGAGCUUACUCAUCAAGGCCAACAGCUUUUUUAGGAAGACCGCCUUCAAGACCCUCACUUCAUUGUUCCCUCCAGUCCAAAGUUACCAAUGCCAACCAGUGACUCAGCUUCCAAGACCUGCCUUAAAAUCUCCAAGACCAGGCAUAUCCACUGACUUUCCCUUUCCAGAGCUCUGUUAAAACCUUUAAAGAUAUAAUAAUCCAUCUUUCUUUAAUAGGUUUAGUAAAAUGGCUUUGAUUGGUCAA